CGCAGUCAGUCGGGAGAGUCCCACCAUCACCAUUGGAUGGGCGCCGAAGGAGCAACACUCCCCAGAAUCUCUCAGGCCCGCAUACCGAUUCGACUAG
RNAcentral lists this non-coding RNA (97 nucleotides) under Aeromicrobium sp. 9AM. RNAcentral's name for it is "Glycine". It matches the Rfam family "Glycine riboswitch aptamer". Rfam says of the family: This family represents the bacterial glycine riboswitch. Lineage: Bacteria; Bacillati; Actinomycetota; Actinomycetes; Propionibacteriales; Nocardioidaceae. The record is from RNAcentral.